RNAcentral lists this ribosomal RNA (742 nucleotides) under uncultured bacterium. RNAcentral's name for it is "bacterial SSU rRNA". It matches the Rfam family "Bacterial small subunit ribosomal RNA", at positions 8 to 796 of the family's 1533-position model. The record is from RNAcentral.
AGAGUUUGAUCAUGGCUCAGAGCGAACGCUGGCGGCAGGCUUAACACAUGCAAGUCGAGCGGGCACUUCGGUGUCAGCGGCAGACGGGUGAGUAACACGUGGGAACGUACCCUUUGGUUCGGAAUAACGCUGGGAAACUAGCGCUAAUACCGGAUACGCCCUUUUGGGGAAAGGCUUGCUGCCGAAGGAUCGGCCCGCGUCUGAUUAGCUAGUUGGUGGGGUAAUGGCCUACCAAGGCGACGAUCAGUAGCUGGUCUGAGAGGAUGAUCAGCCACACUGGGACUGAGACACGGCCCAGACUCCUACGGGAGGCAGCAGUGGGGAAUAUUGGACAAUGGGCGCAAGCCUGAUCCAGCCAUGCCGCGUGAGUGAUGAAGGCCUUAGGGUUGUAAAGCUCUUUUGUCCGGGACGAUAAUGACGGUACCGGAAGAAUAAGCCCCGGCUAACUUCGUGCCAGCAGCCGCGGUAAUACGAAGGGGGCUAGCGUUGCUCGGAAUCACUGGGCGUAAAGGGCGCGUAGGCGGCCAUUCAAGUCGGGGGUGAAAGCCUGUGGCUCAACCACAGAAUUGCCUUCGAUACUGUUUGGCUUGAGUAUGGUAGAGGUCGGUGGAACUGCGAGUGUAGAGGUGAAAUUCGUAGAUAUUCGCAAGAACACCAGUGGCGAAGGCGGCCGACUGGACCAUUACUGACGCUGAGGCGCGAAAGCGUGGGGAGCAAACAGGAUUAGAUACCCUAGUAGUCC